GAUGAAGAACGUAGCGAAAUGCGAUAAGUAAUGUGAAUUGCAGAAUUCAGUGAAUCAUCGAAUCUUUGAACGCACAUUGCGCCCGCCAGUAUUCUGGCGGGCAUGCCUGUUCGAGCGUCAUUUCAACCAUCAAGCCCCCGGCUUGUGUUGGGGACCUGCGGCUGCCGCAGGCCCUGAAAACCGGUGGCGGGCUCGCUAGUCACUCCGAGCGUAGUAAUACAUCUCGCUCAGGGCGUGCUGCGGGUUCCGGCCGUUAAAAAGCCUUAUUUACCCAAGGUUGACCUCGGAUCAGGUAGGAAGACCCGCUGAACUUAAGCAUAUCAAUAAGCGGAGGA
Molecule: unclassified non-coding RNA, 335 nt
Filed under: soil metagenome
Description: partial contains 5.8S ribosomal RNA, internal transcribed spacer 2, and large subunit ribosomal RNA
Rfam family: 5.8S ribosomal RNA (bases 1-120)
Source: RNAcentral